RNAcentral lists this transfer RNA (76 nucleotides) under Rickettsiales bacterium. Its description in RNAcentral is "tRNA-Lys". It matches the Rfam family "tRNA". Rfam says of the family: Transfer RNA (tRNA) molecules are approximately 80 nucleotides in length. Their secondary structure includes four short double-helical elements and three loops (D, anti-codon, and T loops). The record is from RNAcentral. Lineage: Bacteria; Pseudomonadati; Pseudomonadota; Alphaproteobacteria; Rickettsiales.
GGGUUCGUAGCUCAGUUGGUAGAGCAGCUGACUCUUAAUCAGUUGGUCGCGAGUUCGAAUCUCGCCGAGCCCACCA